AUGAUAGGAGGAGAGGUGAUUCAAGCAGUGACCUUCGCCAACUCUGUGCUUAGCAAGGUGGCUGAUGUGAUCACGAGAGAUAAGUCCAUGAAAAGCGCAGUCAAAAGAGGCCUCAAUGACAUCAAGCUGGAUAUGAAAAUGGUGAUCAGCGAAAUCAAGUUCAAUGAGGAGAACAACCAAGGGGCGACACAUGAGAGCAAGGUUGUGAUACUGAAGGAGUUGGCUAAUGAUAUCGAGGACUUCAUAGAUCUUACGUGGGUUCCGGGUGCAUCUGGCCUUCUCCUCUCGGCAUUUGGCCUGGACCACCGACCUCAAAUAGUGCAAACAAUCGACCAUUUCAAGGACAGUAUCCAGAAAGUACGCACCUGGCAACCUGAUGCCGGAUCCAGCCAGGGCAAAGACAGUGCUGCAACAUGGUCCUGCCCUUCAGCCACACCUCUUAAUCCUUAUAGCCGAGAUCUAGAUCAUGAGGCUACCUUCAGGAGCAUCUGCAAACACAGAUGUGAGCUGCAAGGGUUGCUGUCAGCAUCCGAAGGGCAAGAGCUGAAGGUGAUCUCCAUCGUCGGUUGCCGUGGCGUGGGGAAGACAAGUCUAGCAACAGCGGUCUAUGACGACUGUCGUGCCGAAUACGAUUGCGUUGCUUGGGUGGUAGCAUCCGAGUGCCGCGAUCUGGAGGACCUUCUAACCAAGCUUCUCAAGGAGGCACAAAGGACGGCUAAGCCUACAUCUACAGCUGCACAAGGGAGCAUCUCCGAUACUGAGCAAACAAGCCUUCGAAAUUUCCUGAGUGACAAAAGGUAU
Molecule: ribosomal RNA, 801 nt
Filed under: Triticum aestivum (bread wheat)
Lineage: Eukaryota; Viridiplantae; Streptophyta; Magnoliopsida; Poales; Poaceae
Description: partial small subunit ribosomal RNA
Source: RNAcentral